CGUCUAUAUACGUAUAGCAUAUCAAUAAGCGGAGGAAAAAUGAUGUAUACCUACGCUUAGGAUGUUGACACACGCGCGUGCUCGACGUCUAUACAUGACUCUGCGCAUAUCAAUAAGCGGAGGAAAAGAAACUAACAAGGAUUCCCCUAGUAACGGCGAGUGAAGCGGGAAGAGCUCAAAUUUGAAAUCUUAAAGGGUUUCCCUUUACGAAUUGUAGUUUAAAGAAGUGUUUUCUGUUGAGGUUUUGGUAAAAGUUCUUUGGAAUAGGACAUCAUAGAGGGUGAGAAUCCCGUAUUUGACCUUUACUUUCAACUUUGUGAUACACUUUCAAAGAGUCGGAUUGUUUGGGAAUGCAGUCCAAAAUGGGUGGUAAAUUUCAUCUAAAGCUAAAUAUUGGCGAGAGACCGAUAGCGAACAAGUACCGUGAGGGAAAGAUGAAAAGAACUUUGAAAAGAGAGUUAAACAGUACGUGAAAUUGUCAAAAGGGAAGCGUUUGACACCAGUGUUGUUUUUCUGAAAAUCAAUUAAAGAACUGUUUAUGCUAAGCUGUUUAGACUUUAUCAGCUAACUGUUUAGUUUUGAGCUUUUCUUUAAUGCACUUUUCAGUUAACAAGUCAACAUCAAUUUCUUUUGCUGUAAAAAGCUUGAGGAAGGUGGCUUGAGAUUCGUCUUAAGUGUUUAUAGCCUCUUGCCUAUGCAGUCGGAGAGAUUGAGGUCUGCAGCGUAGAUCCUUCGGGGCUAAAUGCAUUUGUGCUAAGUUAUAGCAUUUUAUAGACAACUUGUUGACUAUGAUUUGUCUUGUAGCUUACUCGCUUAUGUUAUUUUACCUACGCUUAGGAUGUUGACUGAUAUGUAGUCGUA
Molecule: ribosomal RNA, 861 nt
Filed under: uncultured Neocallimastigales
Lineage: Eukaryota; Fungi; Neocallimastigomycota; Neocallimastigomycetes; Neocallimastigales
Description: partial large subunit ribosomal RNA
Rfam family: Eukaryotic large subunit ribosomal RNA
Source: RNAcentral